GGAAACAGAUGCUAAUACCGGAUAACAACACUAGACGCAUGUCUAGAGUUUAAAAGAUGGUUCUGCUAUCACUCUUGGAUGGACCUGCGGUGCAUUAGCUAGUUGGUAAGGUAACGGCUUACCAAGGCAAUGAUGCAUAGCCGAGUUGAGAGACUGAUCGGCCACAUUGGGACUGAGACACGGCCCAAACUCCUACGGGAGGCAGCAGUAGGGAAUCUUCCACAAUGGACGCAAGUCUGAUGGAGCAACGCCGCGUGAGUGAAGAAGGGUUUCGGCUCGUAAAGCUCUGUUGGUAGUGAAGAAAGAUAGAGGUAGUAACUGGCCUUUAUUUGACGGCAAUUACUUAGAAAGUCACGGCUAACUACGUGCCAGCAGCCGCGGUAAUACGAU
Molecule: ribosomal RNA, 390 nt
Filed under: uncultured Lactobacillus sp.
Lineage: Bacteria; Bacillati; Bacillota; Bacilli; Lactobacillales; Lactobacillaceae
Description: bacterial SSU rRNA
Rfam family: Bacterial small subunit ribosomal RNA
Source: RNAcentral